UCGAGAAUCUUCGGCAAUGGGCGCAAGCCUGACCGAGCGACGCCGCGUGUGGGAUGAAGGCCCUUGGGUUGUAAACCACUGUCAGAGGGGAUGAAGUGCCGGAUGGUAAUUCAUAAUCCAUGCGGUUUGACAUAGCCUCAGAGGAAGCACGGGCUAAGUUCGUGCCAGCAGCCGCGGUAAUACGAACUGUGCAAACGUUAUUCGGAAUCACUGGGCUUAAAGGGUGCGUAGGCGGUCAUUUAGGUAGGGUGUGAAAGCCCCCGGCUCAACCGGGGAAUGGCGCCCUAAACCGGGUGACUGGAGUGAGAUAGGGGUGUGUGGAACUUCCGGUGGAGCGGUGAAAUGUGUUGAUAUCGGAAGGAACGCCGGUGGCGAAAGCGACACACUGGGUCUCAACUGACGCUGAGGCACGAAAGCCAGGGGAGCAAACGG
Molecule: ribosomal RNA, 432 nt
Filed under: uncultured bacterium
Lineage: Bacteria
Description: bacterial SSU rRNA
Rfam family: Bacterial small subunit ribosomal RNA
Source: RNAcentral